RNAcentral lists this long non-coding RNA (517 nucleotides) under Mytilus galloprovincialis (Mediterranean mussel). The record is from RNAcentral. Lineage: Eukaryota; Metazoa; Mollusca; Bivalvia; Mytilida; Mytilidae.
AAUAAACAGCUGCGCCAUGAGCGCAUGAUACGCCCGACAUCUUGUGUGAAAGUUUUAUGCAAAAAUCAUAAAUAGUUUCUGAGGAAGUUUUAAGCAAUAACCAUUUAUUGUUUUUGAGACAUGGCGGGACAUGUGAAACCCCCCCACCCUGUUUUUUUUUUACAAAUAUCACUAAAAUAAAUUUUGAAUCAAACCAAAAAGUAUACAGAUCUUUAAAUUAGUAUAACAAAGAAGUGUGUACAGUUUCAAGCAAUAAUCAUAAAUUGUUUUUGAGAUACGGCGCGACAUGUAAAAAAAAACCCUCCCCUUUUUUACAAAAUACUCAAUAACUCAAAAAUAAAAUUUUGAGUCAUCACCAAAAAGUAUACAGAUCUUUAGAUUAAUAUAACAAAGAAGUGUGUAAAGUUUUAAGCAAUAAUCAUAAAUCGUUUUUGAGAUACGGCGCGACAUGUAAAAAAAAACCUCCCCCUUUUUUACAAAAUACUCAAAAAUGAAAUUUUGAAUCAUCACCAAAAAG